UCGGGAAUUUUGGGCAAUGGGCGAAAGCCUGACCCAGCAACGCCGCGUGAAGGAUGAAGUAUUUCGGUAUGUAAACUUCGAAAGAAUAGGAAGAAUAAAUGACGGUACUAUUUAUAAGGUCCGGCUAACUACGUGCCAGCAGCCGCGGUAAUACGUAGGGACCAAGCGUUGUUCGGAUUUACUGGGCGUAAAGGGCGCGUAGGCGGCCUUAUAAGUCUCGUGUGAAAGCCCUCGGCUUAACUGAGGAUCUGCACGGGAUACUGUAGGGCUCGAGUUCGGGAGAGGAAAGCGGAAUUCCGGGUGUAGCGGUGAAAUGCGUAGAUAUCCGGAGGAACACCAGUGGCGAAGGCGGCUUUCUGGACCGACACUGACGCUGAGGCGCGAAAGCUAGGGGAGCAAACGGGAUUAGAUACCCAGGUAGUCCCUGAGCGGGCUGGCAAGGCGCAU
Molecule: ribosomal RNA, 447 nt
Filed under: uncultured bacterium
Lineage: Bacteria
Description: bacterial SSU rRNA
Rfam family: Bacterial small subunit ribosomal RNA
Source: RNAcentral